AUGGCCACCUAAUAUUAUAAUUUUUUACCUUUUCUUGAUUGCAUAAAUAAUAGGCAGCAUCUCAAGAUAGAAAUUUGCUCUCCCUCAACUAAGUCCUAGUCACUACAUUAAAUAUAGCUUAAGAGAAGAGGAGGGGGUGAAACCCUGACAUUAAAAUUUCUAACAAAUGGACACAUUAUGGAAACUGCCAUCUCAAACAGUUAUACGCAUCAUCCAAAUCCUGAUACACCUUUCUUGUCAAAAACCCCAAAUCCCUGUUGAUCAAUCCCAAAUGCAUCUCAAGUCUAACCUCAAUCCAGAAGCCUAUUUAACAACUUACAAU
RNAcentral lists this unclassified non-coding RNA (322 nucleotides) under Hevea brasiliensis (rubber tree). Lineage: Eukaryota; Viridiplantae; Streptophyta; Magnoliopsida; Malpighiales; Euphorbiaceae. The record is from RNAcentral.